AUUGAACGCUGGCGGCAUGCCUUACACAUGCCAGUCGAACGGUAACAGGUUAAGCUGACGAGUGGCGAACGGGUGAGUAAUGUAUCGGAACGUGCCCAGUCGUGGGGGAUAACUGCUCGAAAGAGCAGCUAAUACCGCAUACGACCUGAGGGUGAAAGCGGGGGAUCGCAAGACCUCGCGCGAUUGGAGCGGCCGAUAUCAGAUUAGGUAGUUGGUGAGGUAAAGGCUCACCAAGCCGACGAUCUGUAGCUGGUCUGAGAGGACGACCAGCCACACUGGGACUGAGACACGGCCCAGACUCCUACGGGAGGCAGCAGUGGGGAAUCUUGGACAAUGGGCGCAAGCCUGAUCCAGCCAUGCCGCGUGCGGGAAGAAGGCCUUCGGGUUGUAAACCGCUUUUGUCAGGGAAGAAAAGGUUCUGGCUAAUACCUGGGACUCAUGACGGUACCUGAAGAAUAAGCACCGGCUAACUACGUG
This 477-nucleotide ribosomal RNA is filed under the name uncultured bacterium. RNAcentral's name for it is "partial 16S ribosomal RNA". It matches the Rfam family "Bacterial small subunit ribosomal RNA", at positions 30 to 507 of the family's 1533-position model. The record is from RNAcentral.